GUAAGUUACUAAGAGCGCAUAGGGGAUGCCUUGGCUCUCAGAGGCGAUGAAGGACGUGAUAAGCUGCGAAAAGCGGCGGGUAGGUGCAAAUAACCGUUAAUCCGCCGAUCUCCGAAUGGGGCAACCCAAUACAUGUAACGAUGUAUUACCCUAAUAAUUAGGGGGCAAACCCGGGGAACUGAAACAUCUAAGUACCCGGAGGAAAAGAAAAUAAUCAUGAUUUCCUAAGUAGUGGCGAGCGAACGGGAAAGAGCCUAAACCGAAGAUGUUACGGCAUGUUCGGGGUUGUAGGACUGAGUCAUCAAAUAUACAUUACGAAGUGGAAUACUUUGGGAAGAGUAUCCGUAGAGGGUGAUAGGCCCGUACACGUAAGUAAUUCUAUUUGUAUCAGUAUCCUGAGUAGGGCGGGACCGGAGAAAUCCUGUCUGAAUCCGGCGGCACCAUCCGCCAAGGCUAAAUACUACUGAGAGACCGAUAGUGAACAAGUACUGUGAAGGAAAGGUGAAAAGCACUUCAAGUAGAAGGGUGAAAUAGAACCUGAAACUAUGCGUUUACAAGCGGUCGGAGCUUUCUAAAUUUAUUUAGAGAAGCGACGGCGUGCCUUUUGCAUAAUGAGCCUACGAGUUACUGAAUUUAGCGAGAUUAAAUACUUCAGGUAUGGAAUCGAAGCGAAAGCGAGUCUGAAUAGGGCGUUAAGUUAGAUUAAGUAGACGCGAAACUUAGUGAUCUACACAUGACCAGGUUGAAGUAACGCUAACCCGUUAUGGAGGACCGAACCAGUAGACGUUGAAAAGUUUUUGGAUGAGUUGUGUGUAGGGGUGAAAGGCUAAUCAAACUGAGAGAUAGCUCGUACUCUCCGAAAUGCCUUUAGGGGCAGCCUUGUAUAUAGGUAUAACAGAGGUAAAGCUACUGAUUGGAUGCGGGGGUUUCACCGCCUACCAAUUCCAGACAAACUCUGAAUGCUGUUAUAUUUUUACAGGAGUGAGGCUAUGGGUGCUAAGGUCCGUAGCCGAGAGGGAAAGAACCCAGACCAUCGGUUAAGGUCCCCAAAUGUAUGUUAAGUUGAACUAACGAUGUCAAAUUGCUUAGACAGCUAGGAUGUUGGCUUGGAAGCAGCCAUUCAUUUAAAGAGUGCGUAACAGCUCACUAGUCGAGUGAUUUGGCGUGGAUAAUAAUCGGGCAUUAAACAUACUACCGAAACUAUGGAAUAGCAAUAUUGGUAGGAGAGCAUUCUAAUGGCGAAGAAGGAAAGCUGUGAGGUUUUCUGGAGCGAUUAGAAGAGAAAAUGUAGGCAUAAGUAACGAUAAUGCGGGAGAGUAACCCGCACACCUAAAGACUAAGGUUUCCCGGUCAACGCUAAUCGGAUCGGGGUUAGUCGGGUCCUAAGGAUAACCCUGUAUAAUGGGGGAUUCCGAUGGCCAGCCGGUUAAUAUUCCGGCACUUAUUAUAGGAAGCGAAGUGAGGACACAGUGGUGAAAUGUACGCGUACGGACGGAAUCGUACGUUAAAGGGUGUAGAUAAAUUGUGUAUAGGCAAAUCCGUACACGAUGUCGAACCUGAUAGUACCGUAAUCCUUCGGGAGAGCGGAUAGUUACAGUAAACGUACUGUCAAGAAAAGUCGCUAAGCGUUUAUUCUAUAGUAACCCGUACCGCAAACCGACACAGGUAGUCGCGAAGAGAAUUCUAAGGUGCUCGAGUGAAUCAUGGCUAAGGAACUAGGCAAAAUUGUCCUGUAACUUCGGGAUAAAGGACCCCUUGAGAGAGGGCGCAGUGAAUCGGCCCGGACGACUGUUUAACAAAAACACAUGGCUUUGCGAAAUAGAGAUAUGAAGUAUAAGGCCUGACACCUGCCCGGUGCCGGAAGGUUAAGAGGAGAUGUCAUCGCAAGAGAAGCAUUGAAUUGAAGCCCCGGUAAACGGCGGCCGUAACUAUAACGGUCCUAAGGUAGCGAAAUUCCUUGUCGGGUAAGUUCCGACCUGCACGAAUGGUGUAACGAUCUGGGCGCUGUCUCAGCCAUGAGCUCGGUGAAAUUGUAGUAACGGUGAAGAUGCCGUUUACCCGCAACGGGACGGGAAGACCCCGUGAACCUUCACUACAGCUUAACAUUGAUUUUGGAUAUAUGAUGUGUAGGAUAGGUGGGAGGCUGCGAAGCAGGUACGCCAGUACUUGUGGAGCCGCCCUUGAAAUACCACCCUUUAUCUAUUUGAAAUCUAACUCGCUAUGAGCGAGGACCAUGUUUGGUGGGUAGUUUGACUGGGGUGGUCGCCUCCAAAAGCGUAACGGAGGCUUUCAAAGGUACCCUCAGCACGCUUGGUAACCGUGCGUUGAGUGCAAUAGCAGAAGGGUGCUUGACUGUGAGACAAACAAGUCGAGCAGGUAGGAAACUAGGAUAUAGUGAUCCGGUGGUUCCGUAUGGAAGGGCCAUCGCUCAAAGGAUAAAAGGUACUCCGGGGAUAACAGGCUGAUC
This 2467-nucleotide ribosomal RNA is filed under the name biogas fermenter metagenome. RNAcentral describes it as "bacterial LSU rRNA". It matches the Rfam family "Bacterial large subunit ribosomal RNA", at positions 1 to 2487 of the family's 2925-position model. The record is from RNAcentral.